UUCACUCACUCACUCACACUCACUCAUGCUUGACCACCGAGAAUUGAGAGGGUUAUUGCGGCGGCGGCUUCAUUGCUUUCGCCGGUGGCAUCUCAUCGUCUUUCAAAUCUCAGCGUGAAGUAGAAGACGCUGAUCGCUGCUUUCACUCACUCGUCUCUCUGUUUUCGAAACACGCUGUUUCUUGGCUUCCACCCUCAACCAACCUUCAAUCUCAACCCUAACAUUAGGGUUAUUGCUCUGAUUCCCAAUUUCCCACCCUAACAUUAGGGUUCUUGGUUCUAGGGUUAUUCAACACUUCUUCUUCUUCCAUCAUCCAGACCUCCAACUCCAGGAGUUCUUAGUUGAGGAAUUGGUUGGGAAGGUCUUUCUAGUGUCUUGGCCGGUCUCUGGGGAACUUUAACGUUUGCACAAUUGCUGUGACUAAAUUUGGAAGCCACUAUAGUGUUGUCUCUUGUGGUGAUGGCGAUGCGAUGGAGUCCCAAGCUGAAGCUCUGGGGCAGUUGACAAGUGAUGAUCUUGAAGGGAAGGUCGAGUAGAUUUGUCAGAUGUGAAGUAUCAAGUGUUGUUUUCACGGAAGAAUGGUUAUACAAGAUUCAUGUGUAGCAUGAGAGAUGCUAAGAUGUCAUUGUUUCUGGUUGAGAUUUGAGAAUGAAAGGUUACUAGGCUGAUUCCAGCACGGGAGAUGCUAAGAUGUCAUUGUUUCGGGUUGAGAAUGAAAGGUUACUAUGCGGAUUCCAGGGCGGGGACCCCACAGUGCAGGGAGAGUGAUCAUCAUCCUCGUCCCCAAAUUCUUAUCGGAGGCAUUUUCAUCCUCGUCCCUAUCUCCACGGGGAAAAAUUCCCCAAGAUCGAGGCCCCAAACGGGGCAGUCCCCACGGGGAUCUCCAUAUUCGGAUGGAAAUUGCCAUUCCUAGGUCUGGAUGACUUCAACUUUAGAUUCAUAAAGGCUUUCUGGCAGGAAAUGAGGAUGGAUUUCAAGAGGGUGUUGGAUGAUUUUCAUAGGCAUGGUGCUUGGCCCAGAGGGGGAAACUCUUCUUUAUUACCCUAAUCCCUAAGGUAGAUACUCCGGUUGGACUGAAUAAUUUUAGGCCGAUUUCCCUAAUUGGAUGCAUGUAUAAAAUUGUUGCAAAGAUCCUAGCAAACAGACUUAGCUUGGUGAUGGAGAAGAUAAUUGAUAAGAACCAAUCAGCGUUUGUCGGGGAAGACAAAUGUUGGAUAGCGUGUUGGUGGCGAAUGAGGUUAUUGAUGAAGCGAAAAGUAAGAAGAAAGCUUGCCUUGUGUUCAAAGUGGACUUUGAAAAAGCCUACGAUCCUGUUAGUUGGGACUUCCUCUAUUACAUGAUGCAUGGGAUGAGGUUUUGUGGGAAAUGGAUUGGUUGGAUAAAGGGGUGUGUCCAAUCGACUUCGAUAUAGUAGAAAAAAUGAGAUGAGAUGAGAUAAAAUAAAGAAAAAAAUAUAGGAGAUGAACAUAUAGGUAGUUUAGGAAUGAACCUGAGUAAUCAACAAAUUUUUGUAUAAAGUAAACAAAAAUACGAGGUUAAGAUUUACAUGGGCCAAUAAUAUAUAUUUUGACAUGUGUUUUAUAAAAUUCUAAAUCAUGACACAUAUCAAAAUAUUAUUGAAUCACUUAAAACUAGAGUGAUUUUACUUAAUAUUUACUUCGCUGAUUUAGAGAUAGUCCUAAAAAAUAUUAAUGAAUUUACUAUUUUACCCAAUUAAAAAGUUUAAUAACGAUAUAAAUACGUCUUUCAAAUGUUAGAGUAAGUCAGACGUGACUCAACUUUAUAAGCUAUAGAACAUAGUUCGACACAUUUAUUGCAAUUAAUUAAUUUUUUAAAAAGUGAAUAAAUUUCUAUCACUUCUUACAAAAUGUGUGACUUUAAAAAAAAACAUGAUGAGUGUUUUGCAAGCAUUUUUCUAUAUUUAUUAUAUUUUUUUGAUACAAGCAUUUUUCUAUAUUUAUUAUAUGAUAUUUCUUAUACCUCCGGUCACUAUAAGUAAAAAAUAAGUUUUAAAAUUUAUUCAAUAAAUGAUAUAUCUAGUCUAUAAUAAUAAAUUAAUCAUCAUUUAUUUAAUGAAUCUAAAAUAUUGUUUUUUGCCUAUAAUAGUGACGAGAGGAUUUAUAUUUUUGUGAAUGUCUGAAACUGUUCAUAUUGGGAAAAGAAAAGAACACACCGAGAAAUGAGAUGAAUCUUAUCGCCGGUAAAGGCACAACUCAGUCCAACUACAACAGCUAGAGAAAGCGAGAAAAUGGAAAGGAGAAAGUAAUUGACAAAGUGCUUCUGGCGAUAAAUAUAAAGCAGACACACCGCUGCAAUUGUGUGCAAAACCACCACCAAAAACAUUAUUAUUAGAGAAAAAAAUUAAGAAGAAGAAGAAAGAAUUGAACACCCAGUGAUAGAAAGAGACGCACUGAUAAGAGGUACUAAGAUGAGGAGGAUGUAGACAACAAGGCCGGCAUCAGUGGUGGCGAAGAAGACUGAGAUGGGGUUGACGAUGGUGAUGACAGCGGCGACUGCUACAGUGGCGAGCAACUGAAUAGCGAUUAUGGUGUAGACUUUUCGGAUGAAGGACCACUGCAGUUCAGAGGUCUCGAACAUCAACGUGUACAUAGGCUCCGCAUCCGUUUUCCACAUCUUCUUAAGCUUUGCUCUAUAGCUAUUUUUUACGCUACACAGAUUCUCGAUUUACAAAAGGUGUGUGAAAGUGGCUUAUCAUAAAAAAAACAAAAGAUGUGAAAGUCAAAAUAUGCUUUGAGUUUUAAUCUCGAUCUUCUUUGUUCACUUGGUGUGGAAGGGGUAAGAGUGUCAAGUUUUUUUUAGAAAUGGUUGUUGUUUUAGAAAUUUAAGAUUAUUUAUCACAUUUUAUACUCCGUUUUUUAUUACAAUUUUAUAUACUCCCUCAUUAUAAAAAUGAUUGUUGUUUUAUAAAUUCAAUACUCCCUCAGUUCCUAUUUAACUGUCCAGGAAAAGAAGAAACACACAUAUUAAGGAGUGCAAUUAAUUUUCUUACUUUUCAUAGAAGUAUUAUUUGAUUUCUUAUUUCACCCAUUAAAAUGUAUAUUAUCUUUCCUCAUUUAUUGUUCCUGCAAGGACUUUUCUUGGAAAAACAUCAUUUAAUAUUCUCUUAAAACUCUAAGUGGACAAAUAUAUAGGAACAAAUUUAUUCUUCAAAGUGGACAGUUAAUAAGGAACAGAGAGAGUACUAUUUAUCACAUCUUCUUCCAUAUAUACUCUCGUUUAAUAUUAUUAUAUCUCUUACCUAAUACCUCAAAUUCUCACCAAUCACAAUUCUUACUAAUUACUCACCCAAUGACUAUUAUUCUCUCUUUUUAAUAAAAUUCAACUUUAAAUAGAGGUGUUUUAGACAAAUCUUAUAUUAAUUAAUGAGUUUUUAAACUGUGUUGAUCAUCUAAGAUAACAACCAUUUUAACAUCAGGGAGUAUAUAUUUUAUUUUAUUUUUCGUAUACUUUAACGUUGGAUUUGCAUAACGGAUCAAAAUCAUACGUCUCCUCUUUCUGUCUCUAUUCCUGUCCCACCAACCAUAAUUUGACACCUCAAUUAAAAUGUACACGCGAGCAUUUUCUUUACCUUAACUCUGUUACCGCGUUCCGUCACUCACUUGCCUGCUUUACUCAUUUGUGAUCUAGCGGCGUUACCUUGUAUUUUCUUUGUCGGUCACUCCAAAUCCAAUUGUAGCAACAACUCCACUCACAAUAACAUUGUGCUGCCUCCAUUGCCCAUUACAUGAGAGAAGAAACAUUGAAAUAUUUAUUAAUUGUUGAUGAUUUUGAGACUUGUUUUCUUGGUUCUGUGUUGCUGUUGAAUUUGGGAAUUAAAUUUGAUUUUAUAUUAUUAGUUAUUGGUAAUUUUUCAAACCCUAAUUUCCCAAAAUUCCCCCAAAUCUUGGUUUUGAUACUUCCCGUCCCUCAACUAAGUGCGAUGACAACAAGAUGUAGAAAUUGAUGCAGAUGAAAAACGAAGCUAGAUGGAGGGCAAAGGAGGUAACCAGCACGAAGGCAACCGUCGAAGAAAUUUCUAAAGCGCCGAUCAAGGUGGUUACGCCAAUAAUCACCGCCGCUGAGGAUCUUGAGGCUCGCCACCGCCUCGUCUGUCGGCGCGAACAACGUUAGCGGAGGAUGAUUCUAGAGCCCCAAGAACUGCAUGAGUGAUGCCAUGAUAGAGCACCCUCUCGAACUCAAGGAGCCGCAGUGGCGACUGCCGACGACUACAGAGGGAGGUGAUGCAUGGAGAGAGAAAGUGUGGGGGAGGAGGAGAGAGGCGAGAAAAGGGAAAUUAAGAAAAAGAAGAUGAAGUUGAACAAACGUCUACUUAACGCCGUUAAAUGAAAAGAGUGAUGUGUUGGAAUUUUUAAUUGAGUUGUCAAUUUCUUACUGGUGGGACAGGGUUUGGGCCAGAGAAUUGAGGCAGAGGAUUUGGACUCCUUGCAUAACUCAUAAAAAAAUAACAAUAAUUCAAUAUUGUCUUCUUACUAACACUUCAUUAAUGAAUAUAUAAAUUUUCAUGUGAAUCAACUCGAUCAAACAUAUGCCAAUACUCAAAACGAAGAGACCAAGAAACAUGAAAAGAGGAACAACCACUCACAUGUAAACGUUUAAAAUUGUCAAAUUUUCCAUAUCAUCAUGCUGCCUUCACAAGUUGACAUUAAGAAAUCGAUAUCUUGUCUUCUUCCAUGUGGAACAACAAUUUCUUUGUCACUACAUGAUAUUUUCAAUGUUAUCAACUUAUCAUCACAUGUAAAUUGUAAAGUUGCUUCAAUUUAUGUUUAAACAACUGAUAAUU
Molecule: long non-coding RNA, 4801 nt
Organism: Lotus japonicus
Lineage: Eukaryota; Viridiplantae; Streptophyta; Magnoliopsida; Fabales; Fabaceae
Exons: 7
Source: RefSeq, a predicted model, not a curated record